CUAUCGGUAGGGGGAAUUUCAAGAGUCCAAGAGAGAAUUUCAAAAGCGGUAAGAUAAUAUUUAUUUUAUUUUAGAUCUACGUGAUUUAUGGACACGGUCGGAAGAAAAGAUGGAUUUAAACGGUGCAAGCCGAAUCUUGGGAAUAAGAAAAUGUGUUACUACUUCGAUCCACGCAAUCUGACUGGCUUCGACGCAUGUCGCCUACGCAUUUUCUCGCUUCAUCGUCGAAACAAAGGAAGCCCGGUUACCGGGUCAAAGGUGACAAACCACCAAUUCAGAAAAUUGCCCUGCUAAUACAUACAUCCGCGCAAAGCAUACAUAGUUCUAUAUUUACCUAAAGUGUUUACGAAAAUCUACUCUAUGAAUAGGAAAGAAC
RNAcentral lists this unclassified non-coding RNA (376 nucleotides) under Bombus terrestris (buff-tailed bumblebee). RNAcentral describes it as "misc RNA ENSBTSG00005038946.1". Lineage: Eukaryota; Metazoa; Arthropoda; Insecta; Hymenoptera; Apidae. The record is from RNAcentral.